CCGCGAGGCGCAAACUGCGAUAGCCUGCACGGUAGGCCCGCGUACUGCACGCCGGCGGACGAUGCCGCCUUUCACGCUACGGCCGCCGCCUGCACGUCCCCUCUACCUGCCGGCCGGCCGCCCACAUCUUCCCUGCUGUUCAACGAUUGGAGGCCGCACUUUCUUCAGGCAACCACCACGUGCGGCAGAGCACUAGAAGAGAGGCCGGAGGAGGGGAGAUCGAAGGGAGCAGUCAGGAGACGGAAGGAAAAGUAGGGAGGUGAUGCAGAGGGUGGGGUAUGAAGGGAAAGAGAUAAAUGGCAUGACGAGGAAAGACGAGUAGCACAAAUAUUUGAGCCAUCUACAGCUGGGGAUUGGAUUCUAACUCUACGAAAGGAACAAGUUUGCACAUGGCAACAAGUUUGUACAACAUACUGAGGUGGCUCUGUCUUCUUGAAAACAUAUUCUAGAUGUCACAGAUGAAGUCUUUGAGGAGCCACGAUCAUGAAAAAGACAUCAACAUCAAGGUCGGGUGGUUUAUCCACACCUCUUCCCCAGCAUGGAGAUGUUCCGGAUGCUGCCACACCACACAAAGCUGGUUUGCUCACUACUUUCUGCUGAUUUAGUCGGGUACGUAACAGGUCGAAUUUUAAUACAUACUAAUAUUUUUUGUUGAAAUUGGCUGUGUUGAAAAAGCACAACUGUUUUAUCUCAACCCCCUAUACUCAUUCUCAUAUUAUCUCUGUCUAUAAAAGAAUGUCUAAAUUCGGAUGUAUCUACACACUCUUUAGUGUAUAGAUACAUCUAAAUUUAGACAAACAUCCGAAAUCUUUUUAUGGACGGAGGGAGUAUUUCUCAUUCAUGAUUAACGUAUAUCUUCUACCAUUUUGCAAAUGCUCUCUUUACACGUAAAAGAAUCAGCUGUUUCAUCGGAUAAGUCCUGGCGCCAGGGACGCACACCUGCCCGGCCACUGUGAGGACGUCCACGUUGUCCAGCCAGUGGAGCACGGCCAGCAGGGCGUCGUGUGGCAGCUCCAUGCAGUCCCUAGUCGCCUCUUUCUCCUCCUCUGGCGGAAGGGCCUCCAGCUCCAGGAAGACCGAAGGCCUGGCCGUGGCCAUCGUGUCGUGUACUCCUGUCGUGUGCAGGAGGAGGCAGGCAGCGUGUACGGGAAUGAGCGAGCGACCGUCUCGUCUCUGGUGCCUCGACUGAAUUUAAGGUAAUCAACAUCGCAUUUUCCGAUCUGAUUUCCGGAAGAAACGUGACAGCCCAGGGCGGUGCCAGGCCUUCUGCGGCUAGCGCGCCGUGAACGACAACAUCCUUGUCUCCUCCCCGACGGUAUGUUGCCUUGUCGCGUUAAAAGCUUCAGUUUACUAGCCAGUCUGUUUCAAAUCAUAUAUUGCACUGUACAAAAUUUCUAUGAUCUGUCGCAGGGCGCCUCCGCUGAGGAGCCUUCGGAUCAUCUCCGGCGACAUGAUCGUCGACAAUAGGCUCAAGCUCACAGUCACAAAGUUCACUCUGCUGGAGGAGCUGGAGCUGUGCACGGGGACGUGCGAGGCCGUCGGCACCGCCUGCCCUCUCCUGAAGCGCCUCCGUCUGAACAGUAAACAGUUCUUCAAAUGGUACACUGAGAAUGUUGAGCGGGAAGCCAUGGGGAUCACCACCAUGCGACGGCCGGCUCCCGUCGCUCCAGCUCUUCGCGAAGCCUCAGUCUCAGCAACCACGGUCCAUCCUCGACGGGUGCGCGCGGCUGGAGUCUCUUGACGUCCACCACUGUUUCAGUGUGGCGAUGGGUGGUGACACGACCCGCACGCCGGAGUACGUCCACUGGGACGAGCUGGUCUGCUUUGGUGAAUAAACCUUGUUGUCUAGGCUUUUAGGUUACUAGUAAGUGUGCACCUGCAAGGCACGUCUCUUCUUGACAAUGAUGUGAACAAAUCUUCUCUACAGAUUUAACCAAGAAAAUAAGCCAUGGCAGAAGUCUGCGCAUGCACUCACUGAUCAUAUGCAGUUUCAGUUAAGCUCAGUUAGCCGGAUAACUGCUUGGCGCACAGAUUUUCAGUCAACUGGAUAUAUAAGCUAGGUAGGUGUAAGUCCACGCCCUGCACGAUUUGGUCGUUAGAUGGCACGAAUCGUAGGAUCGUCGUGAGCGUUUCGCCCAGGUCGUUAGUGGCCGUUUCCAUUGUAUCUGAAUAAAAUGAGAAAGCACAUAAUGUUUCAA
This is a long non-coding RNA of Lolium rigidum, 2198 nucleotides long. RefSeq lists it as uncharacterized. The record is from RefSeq and is a predicted model, not a curated record. NCBI's taxonomy places the organism in Eukaryota, Viridiplantae, Streptophyta, Magnoliopsida, Poales, Poaceae. The transcript has 4 exons.